GACGAACGCUGGCGGCGUGCUUAACACAUGCAAGUCGAACGGUAAGGCCCUUCGGGGUACACGAGUGGCGAACGGGUGAGUAACACGUGGGUGAUCUGCCCUGCACUUCGGGAUAAGCCUGGGAAACUGGGUCUAAUACCGGAUAGGACCACUGCCUGCAUGGGUGGUGGGGGAAAGCUUUUGCGGUGUGGGAUGGGCCCGCGGCCUAUCAGCUUGGUGGUGGGGUGAUGGCCUACCAAGGCGACGACGGGUAGCCGGCCUGGGAGGGUGACCGGCCACACUGGGACUGAGAUACGGCCCAGACUCCUACGGGAGGCAGCAGUGGGGAAUAUUGCGCAGUGGGCGCAAGCCUGAUGCAGCGACGCCGCGUGGGGGAUGACGGCCUUCGGGUUGUAAACCUCUUUCAGCACCGACGAAGCGCAAGUGACGGUAGGUGCAGAAGAAGGACCGGCCAACUACGUGCCAGCAGCCGCCGUAA
RNAcentral lists this ribosomal RNA (478 nucleotides) under uncultured bacterium. RNAcentral describes it as "partial 16S ribosomal RNA". It matches the Rfam family "Bacterial small subunit ribosomal RNA", at positions 28 to 523 of the family's 1533-position model. The record is from RNAcentral.